Molecule: ribosomal RNA, 253 nt
Filed under: uncultured bacterium
Lineage: Bacteria
Description: partial 16S ribosomal RNA
Rfam family: Bacterial small subunit ribosomal RNA
Source: RNAcentral
UACAGAGGGUGCAAGCGUUAAUCGGAAUUACUGGGCGUAAAGCGUGCGCAGGCGGUGAUGUAAGACAGUUGUGAAAUCCCCGGGCUCAACCUGGGAACUGCAUCUGUGACUGCAUCGCUGGAGUGCGGCAGAGGGGGAUGGAAUUCCGCGUGUAGCAGUGAAAUGCGUAGAUAUGCGGAGGAACACCGAUGGCGAAGGCAAUCCCCUGGGCCUGCACUGACGCUCAUGCACGAAAGCGUGGGGAGCAAACAGG